RNAcentral lists this ribosomal RNA (253 nucleotides) under uncultured bacterium. RNAcentral's name for it is "partial 16S ribosomal RNA". It matches the Rfam family "Bacterial small subunit ribosomal RNA", at positions 524 to 776 of the family's 1533-position model. The record is from RNAcentral.
UACGUAGGGUGCGAGCGUUGUCCGGAAUUAUUGGGCGUAAAGAGCUCGUAGGCGGUUUGUCACGUCUGCUGUGAAAUCCCGAGGCUCAACCUCGGGCCUGCAGUGGGUACGGGCAGACUGGAGUGCGGUAGGGGAGAAUGGAAUUCCUGGUGUAGCGGUGGAAUGCGCAGAUAUCAGGAGGAACACCGAUGGCGAAGGCAGUUCUCUGGGCCGUAACUGACGCUGAGGAGCGAAAGCGUGGGGAGCGAGCAGG